Long non-coding RNA from Marmota marmota marmota (Alpine marmot), 2082 nucleotides. NCBI's taxonomy places the organism in Eukaryota, Metazoa, Chordata, Mammalia, Rodentia, Sciuridae. The record is from Ensembl.
CCUGGAGGUCUCCAUCUCUAGAGAGAGAGUGGUUUUCAAGCAUGCAUGCAUGUGAAUGUGUCAGGGAAACUUGCAACCCACAGACUCUUCUCUCAGGAGCUGGUUGUGAGGACUGAUUCCCCAACCCUGGUUCCAUUCCGGCUCCCCACUCUUUCCUCCUCCGGUAAGUCAUCUUUCUGUUACUGUACAAAUGCCGAGAUAAUCAGCUUCAAAACACAAAAGGUCUAUUUUGGCUUAUGGUUUCAGACAUUUCAGUCCACAGUCACUUAGCCCUGUUGUUUAAGGCUGUGGUGAGUGGUACAAGGUAGAGGAAGCACAAGGCAGAGGAAGCUGUUCAAGCUGACAGUUUGGAAGCAGAGAAAAGGAGAGAAGGGACCUGGUUCCAAUAUCCUCUUCUAAGGCACUCCCUCCCCAGUGAACUAACUCCUUCCACUAGGCCUCGCCUCCCAAAGGUUUCCACCACCUCCAGUAGUGCCACCUGCUGGGACCAAGCCUUCAACACACUGGCCUUUGAGGGUCAUUUAAGUUCCAAACUAUUGCACUUCUCUUCCAUGAAUAGAUUGUGGUAAGUGGUAUUGAACACCUUCUCCUGUCUGCAGCAGGAAUCUGGGAAUCUCUUCACCCAUAUUCUAGGAGUAAAUUUUCAGGAUUAAGCUUGUUUCUUAUGCCACCAGGAAGUCAGAAUUUGAGGUCAAUCUUGUCAAAUUGGCUGCGAUUUAUAAUUGGUAAAGUAGCCUUAAAGAAUAUGGUUGUCCAAACAUCAACUAAGUCUGGCCAAUGAGAGGUAAGCAGAAGUAACUAUGGCAGCUGCAAAAAAAAAAAAAAAAAAAAAAAAACUUUCCUUGAAAGAUAUCUAUGUUUUGCCCUUGCCCCUUAUUUGUCUCUUCUUCCAUCCUGUUGAUUAGAUAGUGGAUUUGAUGGCUGGAUCUCUAACUUCCGUGUUGAACUAUGGAGGGCCAUAUUACAGGAAUAGCUGCAUGGUGAAGAAUAGCUGAACACUGAAUGAGGAUGUUAAGGAGCAAAUGCACCAUACCAGCCUAAACCACCUACCUCUGGACUUUUAUGUGAAUGAAAAAAAUCAGAAUUUAUAUUUCUCUCAAACUGAUUAGCCCAACUGAUGUUUUGUUCUUUGAUUAAAAUAUCUGGAAUGUUUGUUCCUAUUAUAAGCUUGAAAGAAAUUUGUAUAGAUGAUUAUUUUUAUUUUCUAAUUAUUAUUUAAAAUGUAUACACUUAAAUCUGAGCUGGCCUAAAUGUUUAAUAUGGAUGAUCUCGUUUUUCUUGUUUCAUCUUUUGUGCUUUUUUUGAGGAGGAUGGAGAUGCUUAAUUAAGAUGGUACAGUUUGAACAGAAUCGUCCUGAGAGGUGUGACUCACAUGGAAAAGUCAUUCUGAGUCACUCAAAUUACAGACACAGCUUUUGUAUUGAGUUCAUGGUGAAUAAGAAUUCACAGUAAGAGUUUGAAAGCUACAUAUAUAAAGCCAAAUGUGAAGGAGAGAGAUUCAUUUUGAAAGGUUAAAGAUAAUCAAGAUCAUGACUCAAAAAGAGCCACGUCUUAAAAAUCUACAAUUCCUUGUUUUCCUUGCUGGGUCCUCUCUUGCAAUGUAAUAACCCCAAAGGUGGAAAUGUAGAACUUUAAUCAAGGCCACUGAAUGGAAUGACUGAUCUUCCCAGGGAGCCACAAGAACCUCCCUAUUCCGAGAAUCACUUUCUACCCCCAACCUCUUUUUUUAUUAACAGAGGAUUGAACUCAGGGGUGCUCUACCACAAGCUACAUCCAAAGCUCUUUUUACUUUUUAUUUUGAGUCAGAGUUUUGGUAAGAUGCCCAGACUUGCAAUCCUCCUAUCUUAACUGCCUGAAUCACUGGAAUUACAGGUGUGCACCACUAUGCCCAGCUUCUUUUCUUCCUUUUCUUGUGUUACCCCAAAGCUGCAGGGCUCCAGAGCCAAGGUUUUCUACAUUGGCUUCAUUACAUAUUUAAUAAGCAAACACAAGAAAAUCAGUUCUCUUCAACAAAUCCCUGUGCAAUGUCAGCUGAUAUCUACUAAGUACCACAAAUAAACUUAACUCCCUAGGCGAUAACCA